This 252-nucleotide ribosomal RNA is filed under the name uncultured bacterium. RNAcentral's name for it is "partial 16S ribosomal RNA". It matches the Rfam family "Bacterial small subunit ribosomal RNA", at positions 524 to 776 of the family's 1533-position model. The record is from RNAcentral.
UACAGAGGUCUCAAGCGUUGUUCGGAUUCAUUGGGCGUAAAGGGUGCGUAGGUGGCGCCAUAAGUCAGGUGUGAAAUCUCGGAGCUCAACUCCGAAACUGCACUUGAUACUGUGGUGCUUGAGUACUGGAGAGGAGAUUGGAAUUUACGGUGUAGCAGUGAAAUGCGUAGAUAUCGUAAGGAAGACCAGUGGCGAAGGCGAAUCUCUGGACAGUUACUGACACUGAGGCACGAAGGCCAGGGAGCAAACGGG